RNA transcript from Armigeres subalbatus, 6818 nucleotides. It is a transcript of the gene named LIM domain kinase 1, with no coding region annotated. Lineage: Eukaryota; Metazoa; Arthropoda; Insecta; Diptera; Culicidae. The transcript is spliced from 10 exons. The record is from RefSeq and is a predicted model, not a curated record.
UGUUGGUCAAGCGGACGCCCGGAUUGGUUGAUUAUCGAAUCAAAAAUUUUAUUAGCGUCGCAGCAGCAGUCCUCUCAUCAGUGUUGAAGCGCAAGAGAAAAAAAAGAUGCAACUAUGGAUAAAAAUGGACAGAAAGGAAAAAGUGAUUUAUCGUGUGCGGGCUGCUACAAUGCCAUAGAAAAAGACGAAUACAUCGGUGCCCUCGGGCAGAGAUGGCACGCCGACUGCUUCAGGUGCUCGGUGUGCGAUAGUCAUCUAUCGAGCUGGUAUUUCGAGAAAGAAGGUCUGCUGUUCUGCAGGGAUGACUACUGGACAAAGUACGGCGAAUGUUGCCAACAGUGCGGUCAGAUAAUUUCCGGUCCGGUUAUGGUUGCUGGAGAUCACAAGUUUCAUCCGGAGUGUUUUUGCUGUGACUCGUGCAAGGUGUUUAUCGGCGACAGAGAAGCGUAUGCACUGGUGGAACGAUCCAAGUUAUUCUGUGGCCAAUGCUACAAAAAACGGACGAAUAAUACCACAAAGGUGGAGCGUCAAAUCCUGGACAGUGCCGUUACACAUGAAACCGACGGUUCGUCAAAGAAAACUCCACACUCCAUUCGCCUCGUAGAAAUUCCCUGGUCCAAUGCUAGGAAGGACGGCAUACGACUGUCCGCUGACGAUCAUCUUUUCGGCAUUCCGUCGCAUUCCGCCGUGGGAUGCAAAGGAGUUCGAAUAUCAGAGGUGUUCUGCACUUUCUAUGGGCAGCUUGGAAAAUACAUUUUCUCAUGUGUAUCAACUGCCCUAGACGCUUGUUGCGGGGUGCUACAUUGUAGAAUCGACCUAACAUCAGACUUGAUGUCACUUCACAUCGGAGACAAAAUUCUGGAAGUAAACGGGACACCGGUUCGGGAUGCCCCUUUGGAAAACGUCGAAAAAUUGAUCCAGAACUCUGGCAAGGUGCUUCAGCUGACGGUGGAACACGAUCCGGAAGUUGCCGAUCGGUGUCGUUUGGAUGAGAAUGGUGCCGACAAGCAUGAACAUUACGUCCCUCCGAUGGACAGUAACUGCAACAGUGCUGGUCUCACCGUAGCUGGAUCCGAAGUGCUCAAGGAACGCUCACCCUCGCCAAAUAAGUACGACAAGGAACGAAUUUUCAAGAAGAAGGACGAAGGUUAUAUAAGUGGAACUUCACGGAAGCUACAAAAACGAUUGAAGGACGUGAACUGCAAUAAUGCGUCGAACAGCCUCAAGGAGAAGGAGAGAAGUUCCAGUAUGUCCAAGCUGUUGGACGAGUACCAACAGCAUCAUCACACUGGGGAUUUUUACGAUCUGUCCCGUACGAAAUCGUUUCGAGUUGAGCAGAAGGCUGCUCGCAUCUUUCGUGCAUCUGACCUGGUGCAGGGUGAACUGCUGGGCAAAGGCUUCUUCGGUCAAGUUUUCAAGGUUACUCAUCGGGUGACACAGGAAGUGAUGGUAUUGAAAGAACUCUACCGAGUAGAUGAGGAAGCGCAGAACAAUUUUCUGAAAGAAGUAGCCGUGCUUCGAUCUCUAUCGCACAACAAUGUGUUGCGCUUUAUCGGAGUGUUGUACAAAGAUAAGAAGCUACACUUAGUGACGGAAUUCAUUCCGGGUGGUUCUUUGAAAGAACUGAUUCAUGACUCUGGGUUGCCCCUGCCGUGGGAGCUUCGAAUCAGUUUCGCGCGCGAUAUCUCAUGCGGUAUGAGUUACCUACAUUCCAUGAACAUUAUACAUCGGGACCUGAACUCGCUCAAUUGCCUCGUUCGGGAAGACAAAACAGUGAUAGUGGCCGAUUUUGGUUUGGCGCGAAUUAUAAAGCAACCGUUUAGUACUGCUUUCGAAAAAUGUUCUCCCUCAAAUGGGACGGGAACUAUUGGUCGUCGUGGCCGGCCUCGGCGGCAGCGAUACACUGUGGUAGGAAACCCUUACUGGAUGGCACCGGAAAUGAUGCGUGGGAACAAAUACGACGAAAAGGUGGAUAUUUUCUCGUUUGGCAUCAUGCUUUGCGAGAUCAUUGGACGAGUGCAAGCGGACCCGGAUUUCUUACCGAGGACUUCGGAUUUCGGACUGAAUCAGGCGGUUUUCAAGGACAAGUUCUGCGAGCAAUGCCCAGAAUCGUUCUAUAAAAUUGCUUUCUUAUGCUGUGAUUUAAACCCUGAUAAAAGGCCUCCAUUCGAUAUUCUGGAAGUGUGGUUCGAGAGCAUGGCUCGAAAUGCUCUUUUGGGCAAACCUCUUCCCAUGAAUGUCGUUACAGAUAUUAAUCACUUCAAGGGCCUGAGGAGCAAUGAUUCCAGCAUGUGUACAACUCCGGACGGACUAUCAACGCCUCCUGCCUCGGGUGUUAAACCGUCGCUAAGUCGCAAGAGGAUAAACGAAGGUAUGAUGAUAGAGGAGAAAGAAAAUUGUGAAAAGACGAUAAAAUCCGAUGAUCGUGGCGCGGGCGGUGUUGAUAUGGUAGACUGUGCGAAGGCUCCCAAGGGAGCAGCGGAAACGAAAGACAACGCGGAAAACAAUAACAAUAACAUUUCCAAUAGCGAUAGCACUAGCAGUAGCGUAAAUGUAAGCACUUUUAUUGUGGGGGAAACAGAAAUACCAAGGUCGCCUCAUUUGAGCAAGGAUUUUUCCCCAAAUGGUGACCGUAUUCGGGAUAGUAUAAGGGCUCGACGUAGGCAGCGGAUGAUACUUAAUAGAGAGAACCAGCGAAAAUCGUUGGACUCGAGUAACCUUGGUCUGAAGUUGAGUAGCAUGGAUUUAGUAGUUAAUGCGGACUCGAGCGUUUCGGAGCCAACCAGUCUGAUACAAAUUGAUCCGAACGCUUUAAAACAACCUCCGUCGACGGAGGACGUUCUGAAUUCGGUUAAGGAUACCUUGGAGAAGAACCCUCAACUGGCCAGAAGGUACGAUGAGUCACCAAAAACAAAACGUUACGGGGAGAAAGGUUUCAUAAUUCAAAUGAAUAAUGGCAAUUUAACUUUGAAUAACGUAAAAGACUUAGAAGGUUGCUCAGAUUUUGACUCAAGUUGUGACACAAGUUUGAAUUAUAUUGAUUUGAAUGGAAGUUGUGCAAAUGGUAAUUCGUUACUUAAUAUUGAGAGUGAAGACGUUGGUAAGGUGAGGGAUCCGAAAGAUAUUUGGUCAGUACCGAUGGUGAAGGUUUCGUCUGAAGUUGUGAACCAAAAUUCGCCAGUACUGCCAGAAUCGUCGAAAGCAUCACACAGAACUGCUUUAGAUGAUCUUAGAACUCAGUUGAGCAUGUGUAGAAAAGAUACUUUAGAAAAGCAGUCAGAAAAAGAAAACGUUAAAGUAGAGGUAGUCGCUGAAACUAAAGAUACAAAAAGCAGCAAUAGGGUUUUCAGCAAAAUAAACCCCCUCGCAACAAUUCUAGGAGGUAGGAACAGUUCACCUGAUAAGGCAAGGUCUAAAAGUCCACUGAAAACCAAUAAAUAUACAUCGAAACUUUUCCGGGUUAGUGAUACGCCAAUAUUUGAGCGACGUAAUAAUAGUUCUCCAGUUCCUCCGCCAAUGAAACGCAGCGACUCAGGUGAUCAAAUAAAGCCACCAAAAUCGGUAACUCAAGAAAAGCCAAUGUUCGCUUCUAAGCAGAAAGUUUCUCCUACUUCUGAUCUGAAACCGCAGUCUAGUUUUGUCGAAAGUGCUCCGACCUCGACCGGUAACAGCUAUGCCAUCAGUAAGCUCAAAGCCUCAAGAAAUAUAUUUUCGGACAAAAAUCUUCCCCAAGUGUUUGUCUACAAAGCCAAAAAGACACCAACUACAACGGCCUUCGUGCCGACCUCGUAUGCCAUAUGUACAAGUAGCACUAGUACUAUUACUAGCAGUAAGACUAAAUCGCCAGCAGUAACAGUAGAAAAGCCGCCCACAAAUAGAAAGCCGCCGAUUGCAGGUGGCGCCACUAGCACUAGUAGUUGUAUAGUUAGUUUAAAUAAGAAUCGCACUUUUCGACCGACGGAAAGUGGCUCGCCGAGAUACUCGAGGCACCAGCACUUGGAAAAGCCGGUCGAAAAAUAUGUGGCCUUAUCGUCGCCGUCUCGUAGCGGCAGUGGUAGCAAUUCUCGAACCGAGUCCCCCUCGCCAACCAGUGGCACCAGUGGCUCUCAAAGUCGGUCACGGAUGGCCAACAACCGCAUGGGCAUACUCUCGCCGGAGAGUAUCCGAAAGUUGAACGCCAGACUGUUGGAAACUCGCAAAUUGUCGAACGAAAGUGAGACCACCGGGGCCAGCAGUUCUUCGAUGAGAGGUAGAUCGACGGGACAUAGCGAGAAAUCGAUGGGUGUGCACAAAGGGGACGCCCAGAAGGAGAAAAAGAGCCACUCAAUUGUGAAAACCAAACGAGGGGAGAUUAAGGCGGCAGCAAUUUGAGCUUGUACCUAGUUGAAUCUUGAACAGUUUAGUCAUCGUGCUUAAUAAUUCGACCAGUUUCUAAUAAUCUUGUUUGAUCGUAGGCUUGACAAAAUAGAUCACAUCUACAAUAUCAUCAGCAAUAUUUCGACGGUUUAGGUUUUUUUCUGCGAUGGAAUUUCAUCCAAAAGAUUUUUUGGAAAAAAAAUUCUAAUUUUUUAAUUUUUGGUCUAAAAUAUUCGAUUUCUUAAGGUACAGUGGGGUAAAUGGGGUAAGUGAAAAAGCCUCCAGGAAAGCCUCCAGGAAAUUGAUUUCAUAGUUUAGGAUGUUCCUCCAGCGAUUUGUUUAUAAAAUCCUCUGGAAUCCAUUUAGGAGUUUCUCCUCUAGGUAUUCUUUCCGAAUGUCUUUACGGAUUUCCCUUUAUAAGUUCCGUCGGAUGUUCCUUUAAAGCUAAUACAUUCUUUUCAGUAAUUUCUUUAGGAAGCUCAUUUAGAAUUUCGUUCGUUUAGGGUGAUUAUACAAUUGAUUCCGUGGUGAGUUUCAAAUUCACCACAUGUUUUUCUACUCCCAUUUUCAAACGGCCAAUUUAAGCGUAAUAAUGUUUGUUCAGUUCUGAAAUUUAAGUCGAUUGCUCAGCAUAAUUGAAUAAAUGAUCUGCCAUUGUUGCAUCCCUCAUGCGUGUUAUGCAACGUACACACCAGUCAAGCAGUUUGACGAACAUUGACUCCGCCCCAAGAAAACGCUUCGGUUGCUGCUUUGUUUGAACGUGUGUGAAGUUGAUCGAACAACCAUUUGACAGUUGGCGGCUCGGUUUGAAAAAAUUAAAACGGUUUGAUUUUGGUUUGAGUUGUCGGAAGUGGAGUCAAGGUUCACCGAACAUGUUUGAGCAUUUGUAGUGAAGUUGUACAAACCCCCAUAUAUUUUUUGAUGGUUGAUGCUCAAGUUGGCGCUUCGGUCGUUCGUGUGUGAUAUUGUUGUUCGAAUAAAUUGAUUGUUCGUGCCGCUGUUGGUCAAACUUGAUGGAUGUUUGAAUAAACAAGAGGUGGAGUCAAUGUUGGUCAAACUCUUGGAAAAUUUCGGCAAAAAGCACGAGGUUUCCAAGAUGACGAUUUGUGGCUUUGUUGUAUAAUCACCUUAAUGUCCAAGUAGGUUGGUCUAAUACCCGGAAAAUAGGCCUACCCCUACUACCUGUUUUACAACAAUAUUGCGCAUUUAAGAAUUAAAAUCGUACCCGGACCUGAAAUUUUUUUCAUCUUACAAACUCGAACCCGACCUGAACUCGAUAUUAUUCUAAUUUUCCAAACUCGAACCCGUCGAACCCAUCUCUUAACAUUCAUAUAUCUCUCUAUAGUUCUCUUAAAUGUUUUUUAUCCAUUUUUUAGCAUACAACACUGUGUUCAAUCGUAGCUAUGUUCAAUAUCCCAUGGCGAUAUACGGUUUCAACCGCUUCCAUAGGUUGGUUAAUCACUGCUUCUACACGUUUGUAACGUAAAUAGACUAAAUCAUUUUUAGGAUGUUCCAAUUCUUAUAAUGUUUAUCAUGUUGACUGCAUUACGAAUGUGACGAGGGUGUUCAUUACCCGAAAUAACGAGUGAUGAUCACGGUACAAAUAAUAAAAACUUUAUUUACUUCUUAAAACGUGUUGACUCGAUGACGUCAACCGGAUGACAAACGCAGCUGUCAACGGAAAGCCCAGGUGGAAAUUCUCGCAAGGUUGCCAGUUGUCUCCAACAUCUCCCUCCUAGUACCUACGGUACGCUUGAAACCAUUGCGGCGGUCUUCUGGUCCGUGAAGAACGUCGAGGUAGUAGAGCCGAUAGCUUACCAUCGAAGGCUGAAUAAAAUGCCGUGGAUGGUGAUGAUGAAGAUGACGUCGGUGUUGGAUGUUGAUUCGCUGAUGGAGAGGUUAAUGGUGGAAAUUCUCGCAAGGUUGCCAGUUGUCUCCAACAUAUAUGAUGAGACCUUGAAUUUAAUUUUGAAAGCAGCUUCUGAUUAUUCUUCUUUUUCUUCUUAUUGACAUUAUAUCCCCCACUGCACUAUGGGGAAAAGGGUGGCCAUUAAUCGAACAAUUUACUCCAAUUUGUCUAAUUUAUAUAUCAUAUGAAAGUAUAUACCCUAAAUAAGAGAAUCGGAAAAUAUUGAAGCGCUGUGUUUAUUCAGUCAAAAGAUAUGGGCUGGUGAAGUGAAAAAAGCUGAUAAAAAUAAAAAAUCAUUACCAUUUUGAUUUGUAUGUUAUGAAGUCAUUUUUUCUCCAAAUAUAAGGUUUUAUAUACCAUUUCGAAGCUUGCAACUUUAGCUUUCUGAUAGACUGGUUUGUCUUGCAAGCGAAGUUUAACCCUUAUGCGGCCGACGGGGUACCCGUGUUCCUUUUUCAAAUUCAAGUGGUGAUAUUUCAAUGAAUUUAUAUAGCUGAAAGCUGAAACUCGGUGACAUCUAAGAACUCCAUAAAAUGUAGCAUCUGUGAGAAAA